This 253-nucleotide ribosomal RNA is filed under the name uncultured bacterium. Its description in RNAcentral is "partial 16S ribosomal RNA". It matches the Rfam family "Bacterial small subunit ribosomal RNA", at positions 524 to 776 of the family's 1533-position model. The record is from RNAcentral.
UACAGAGGGUGAGAGCGUUAAUCGGAAUUACUGGGCGUAAAGCGCGCGUAGGCGGCUUUGCAAGUCGGGUGUGAAAUCCCCAGGCUUAACCUGGGAACUGCAUUCGAGACUGCAUUGCUAGAGUAUGGGAGAGGGAAGUGGAAUUUCCGGUGUAGCGGUGAAAUGCGUAGAUAUCGGAAGGAACAUCAGUGGCGAAAGCGACUUCCUGGACCAAUACUGACACUCAGGUGCGACAGCGUGGGGAGCAAACAGG